Daucus carota subsp. sativus is the source of this 146-nucleotide non-coding RNA. NCBI's taxonomy places the organism in Eukaryota, Viridiplantae, Streptophyta, Magnoliopsida, Apiales, Apiaceae. The record is from Rfam.
GGUUCGAUGCCACGUCGACGGUAGCCACAGUGCAUUGACCGACGAUGCUAUGAUUGAACCAAUAGUGAAUUCUUUUUCGCAUUUUAUAGGAACCUGUGGAUCGAUUUUUCCGUUCGCUCACGGAGCCGUUUUUUGCGAUUACAUUU